Molecule: long non-coding RNA, 540 nt
Filed under: Homo sapiens (human)
Lineage: Eukaryota; Metazoa; Chordata; Mammalia; Primates; Hominidae
Description: HSALNT0130242
Source: RNAcentral
CAGAGGCAAUUCUCCCUGGAAGGCAGGAAUCCCACCAUGGAGAAUCAACAUGUGGCCAAUCACUGUUCUUUAUGAAUGUACUUCCUUCGGGUCUCUGGAAAAAUUGUAGAGAAAUUAUCAGUCCUUCACCUGACUUUAAAGGACCCUUCAGUUUGUAGAAGGGGCUCAGAAAAAGAGCUGAUGCAGGUCUUGGCACUGUGCCAGUCAUAGAUGAAGGUGAGAGUGAAUAUGCCUGUUUUGGAACUUCCUUUAUUUUGUUUGCAUAUCCCCUUCAAAACAUUCUCCAUUUAUUACCUCUGGAAGUCAGAAUAGAGAACUAUUUAAAAGAUCCAUCCGUGUUGCUUAAGCUCUGUGUUCCCAUAAAAUAGCUGGAUCUGAGCCUAAAAUAUGGAUUUUUAAAAAUCCACUAUGGAUGUCUGCUUGGACUAAAAUGACAAUACAUUUCUUGGGGGAAAAAUAGAUAGCGGCAGAAAGCCUCCUCUGAUCUGCCAAAGAACAAAAAUGGCACCCAAACCCUUUUGUCUAAAAACAUGAUGUCUU